RNAcentral lists this transfer RNA (87 nucleotides) under Flavobacteriales bacterium CG_4_9_14_3_um_filter_40_17. RNAcentral's name for it is "tRNA-Leu". It matches the Rfam family "tRNA". From Rfam's summary of the family: Transfer RNA (tRNA) molecules are approximately 80 nucleotides in length. Their secondary structure includes four short double-helical elements and three loops (D, anti-codon, and T loops). Further hydrogen bonds mediate the characteristic L-shaped molecular structure. tRNAs have two regions of fundamental functional importance: the anti-codon, which is responsible for specific mRNA codon recognition, and the 3' end, to which the tRNAs corresponding amino acid is attached (by aminoacyl-tRNA synthetases). tRNAs cope with the degeneracy of the genetic code in two manners: having more than one tRNA (with a specific anti-codon) for a particular amino acid; and 'wobble' base-pairing, i.e. permitting non-standard base-pairing at the 3rd anti-codon position. Lineage: Bacteria; Pseudomonadati; Bacteroidota; Flavobacteriia; Flavobacteriales. The record is from RNAcentral.
GCCCAGGUGCUGAAACUGGUAGACAGGCAUGGUUGAGGGCCAUGUGUCCGUAAGGAUGUGCAAGUUCGAUUCUUGUUCUGGGCACAA